AUGGAUAAUAUCACCCAUAUUCUAAAAGAUGCUCAGGAUCCGGAUGACAACGUAAGGUUAGAAGCAGAAGCCAAACUCAAGCAGCUCGAGGAGCGUAAUCGUCCCAACUUCCUCCUAUGCUUAUCAGCAGAGCUCUCGAGGGAGGCAAGUCCACCCGAGUGCAGAUGCCUCGCUGGGACUAUCCUUAAGAAUUCAGUUGAAGGAAAGUAUUCUGAACAUAACAGCAUACUCAUCAAACAAUGGAUCAGCCUGGAUCCACGCAUCAAAACUGAGAUUAAGGAGUCAUUGCUGAUGACACUAGGAUCUUCGGCUCCUCAGGCAAGGCACGCAUCAUCACAGAUUAUUGGCAGGCUUGCAUACAUUGAGAUACCCUCCCGGGGAUGGCAGGACCUCAUUGGCAGAUUGCUGGGCAACAUGGCACAGCAGGGCGCAUCUCCUCCACCAAAGCAAGCAAUUCUAGAGGCGCUGGAGUAUGUGUUUGAGGAGGAGACCUUGAGGUUCGACAAGGAUACAAUUGAUGGUGUUCUGGACGCCGUCAUCCGUGCGACGAGUUUUCAAGUCCGUCUUGUGGCGGUUAAAGCUCUACGGAAUGUUCACAAGUUUGCUAACUUUGCAAAUGAUGAUGAUUGCAGAAAUCGUAUAAUGACUGCAAUCUGUGAUGCAGCUAAAUCCGAUGAAGCAGCGGAGGUCAAGCAUGCAGGAUUCGGCUGCCUUGCUGCGAUUGCAUCCAACUAUUAUAUGGAGUUAGAACCUUACAUGGAACCAUACUCAGCCUUACAACUCAGGCUUUGGACUUGGAAGGAGGCGUUAUCCUUGAAGGGCCCUCUAUUAAGAAACUCGCUCCUGGUUGGUUGGUUGAUGGACGGGAUGGAAGACUCACACAUGGAGGUAAGAGGCGCCGCAGCAUGCACUCUUGGGCGGGCGUUUGAGCUUCUGCAUUCUCCAGCUCUUGAUAAAAGACUUUUCACAAAUGAAGACUUUCCUCGCGUCAUGGCUGCGUUGUCAAAGAGUGGUAAAGAUGUUCCACAAGUGUCCAAGGAGGUCUAUGGAGCUAUAUAUUUUCUUGCCCGAGGUUAUGAUCAGUCAAUCUCAUCUGAGGUAGACCUUUCAAAAAAGAAAAUCUCAUCUGAGCUUUCACCUUUUCUUACUGGUGUUAUCGAUGCUCUCCUUUCUGCUUCGGAACUUGAUAAGAAGACCCCUUUGGGGCUUCCAGCAUCUGCAUCUGCUUAUGGCACAUUGAUUGAGGCUGUGAGAGUAAUCAACAUAUGGGAUUUGGAAGCUGUACUAGCUAUUAUAGUUUUAAUGCAUCGUAUCAUGAGAAGAUUAAACACCGCGCUUGAUGCCAAGGCAAUUUCAUCAGAUGACAAGACUAACAAGCACAAUCUUCAGGCGUUGUCGUGUGAUGUACUGCACGCCAUAAUCGAGAAACUCGGCAAUUCACUUCACGCGGACAAGGUUAGGGAGUCUGCUCCGUUUAUGUGUCUUCAGUUUUGCCGUGUCCUGACCUGCGACUGCUCUACUGCACGUGAUAAAGCAGCACUCGCCAUUGGUGCUCUCGCUCGUGCCGUCGGUCCAAAGUUUCUGGAUUGCAUGCCAAUAUUUUUGCAGUAUUACAGUGUGAAGCUAUUCUACCCAAUCUAUUUAGAGGUGAUUUGCACUAUCUUUCAUGCCUUGGGAGAUGAAAUCCUGCCAUGCUGUGAUUAUAUGAUGGGUGUUCUUUACAAAGGUCUCUCACAACCCAAGCUUAAACCUCAAAUUUUGGCAUGUUUUGGGGAGAUCGCUCUUGCUAUUGGCAAGAUUUUUGAGGACAAGUACCUGCAGGCUGUUAGGAAAAAGCUGAAAGAAGCUGCUAACCCAAGAUAUUAUGCCAAUGUUUUUGAUGAGGAUAAGGUCGAUUACGGUAUCCAGCUUAGACAGGGAAUAUGCAAGGCUUACUCUGGCAUACUGCGGGGUAUAAAGGACCCAAAAUCUGGGUUGAAGGUAGCAGCGGAUCUAGUUGAGUUCAUUGAAGCAGUCUCCAAGGACCAGAAGAGGGGUGGAAGGGUGACAUACGCUGCAGUUGAUGCGUGGGCUCAGUUUGGUUUGACGGUGGAGUCAUGGAAAAAGGGACUUAUUUCGGAUUUACAGAGGUAG
Molecule: ribosomal RNA, 2133 nt
Filed under: Triticum aestivum (bread wheat)
Lineage: Eukaryota; Viridiplantae; Streptophyta; Magnoliopsida; Poales; Poaceae
Description: partial small subunit ribosomal RNA
Source: RNAcentral